UAUUAGCAAGCAGCCUCAGAUAGUUACCCUUUUCUGCCUUAUCUACCUUCUUAAAAGUUCUUCCAACAGCUGCCAAGUAAUCUUUGGCCUUAUCACAUGCAGGGAUGCUAUCUCUAGUUGUUCUAUCAAUGGUGUAUUUCAUUGUAUCCAGACAGUGUCUAUUGGAUUCAUCCCAAGUUGCCCACUCUGCUUUUUCAGCAGCAGUGCUCUUAUCUGUGGGCUU
Molecule: long non-coding RNA, 223 nt
Filed under: Citrus maxima (pomelo)
Lineage: Eukaryota; Viridiplantae; Streptophyta; Magnoliopsida; Sapindales; Rutaceae
Description: long non-coding RNA (CMAX_LNC001803)
Source: RNAcentral